CCAGACCGCCCCAAGUACUUGGGCCCAUUCUCUGAGCAAACUCCAUCAUACCUGACCGGUGAAUUCCCUGGUGACUAUGGGUGGGACACUGCUGGGUUAUCAGCAGAUCCUGAGACAUUCGCCAAGAACCGUGAGCUCGAGGUCAUUCACUGCAGAUGGGCAAUGCUUGGUGCACUGGGUUGUGUCUUCCCUGAGAUUCUUUCAAAGAAUGGUGUCAAAUUUGGUGAGGCUGUCUGGUUCAAGGCUGGAGCUCAGAUCUUCUCAGAGGGCGGUCUCGACUACCUUGGCAACCCCAACCUUGUUCAUGCCCAGAGCAUCCUUGCAAUCUGGGCCUGCCAAGUUGUGCUCAUGGGAUUCGUUGAAGGAUACCGUGUUGGUGGAGGCCCACUUGGUGAGGGACUGGAUGCAAUUUACCCAGGUGGGGCUUUUGACCCACUUGGUUUGGCA
Molecule: long non-coding RNA, 447 nt
Filed under: Vitis vinifera (wine grape)
Lineage: Eukaryota; Viridiplantae; Streptophyta; Magnoliopsida; Vitales; Vitaceae
Description: long non-coding RNA (VVIN_LNC003769)
Source: RNAcentral